This is a long non-coding RNA of Cicer arietinum (chickpea), 636 nucleotides long. RefSeq lists it as uncharacterized. NCBI's taxonomy places the organism in Eukaryota, Viridiplantae, Streptophyta, Magnoliopsida, Fabales, Fabaceae. The record is from RefSeq and is a predicted model, not a curated record.
GUUAUAGGAAUAUAAUGACAAGCAAGACUAGCUAAUAGGAAAGCAACGUGAACAGCUAAUAGGAAAAAGUAUCGUGAACAGCCUGGCAGCAGCCAUUCAUACAGGCUGGCAAGCAAGCAUGCUUUCCUAAAGCCUAUCAACAACAAAAAAGCAAUCUUGGCAUAAAUUGGAAAAUUUGAAGCUAAAGCAUCCAAUAGAAAAUAAAACCGUUUUACGCUUUACUAUCACAACUAAAAUGAUCUCAACCAAAAUCAACAUCCACACAAACAAAAUAAAAUUUCAUCUUUUAAAUUUAAAUUUUAGCUUCCAAUCUAAGCAGCAAACAUGAAGAAAAUGAGAAGAUACAUGCCUUUUCAGAUACCGAUGAAGACAGAGACGGUGGUUCGCGGUGGAAGUUGAAACAACGUUAAAAGAGGAACAGAUGUACCAAUAAGCAUUGCUUGUGCAUCAAUGGGAGUCAUCAUCAACAUAGCAGGGUUUGGCAGUGGACAAAGUCAACAUAGCAUGGCUUGAUCUGAUGUAAUUUAUUUUUGCCUUUAUUCUUAGUUUGUACUUUGAUUUGGUUUUAAAACUCUAAUUAGAUUUGAAAUUGUAAAUUUAUAAUACAAAAUAAAAUUAUUUAUUGUAAUUAUUUUA